CUACGGGACGCUCCAGUGAGGAAUAUUGCACAAUGGGGGGAACCCUGAUGCAGCAACGCCGCGUGGAGGAUGACGCAUUUCGGUGUGUAAACUCCUUUUAUAUGUCAAGAAAAUGACGGUAGCAUAUGAAUAAGCACCGGCUAACUCCGUGCCAGCAGCCGCGGUAAUAGCGGAGGGUGCAAGCGUUACUCGGAAUCACUGGGCGUAAAGGACGCGUAGGCGGGUUGGAAAGUCAGGUGUGAAAUCCUACAGCUUAACUGUAGAACUGCACUUGAAACUUCUAAUCUAGAGUAUGGGAGGGGGAGAUGGAAUUAGUGGUGUAGGGGUAAAAUCCGUAGAUAUCACUAGGAAUACCUAAAGCGAAGGCGAUCUCCUGGAACAUUACUGACGCUAAGGCGUGAAAGCGUGGGGAGCAAACAGGAUUAGAUACCCCUGUAGUC
Molecule: ribosomal RNA, 440 nt
Filed under: uncultured bacterium
Lineage: Bacteria
Description: partial 16S ribosomal RNA
Rfam family: Bacterial small subunit ribosomal RNA
Source: RNAcentral